GCUGUCUGGACAGUGAAACAGCACCUCUCUGUCUCAGUAUGUGUAGCCCAGGUAUCUGAUGCUGUCUGGACAGUGAAACAGCAUCUAUCUGAUGCUGUCUGGACAGUGAAACAGCAUCUAUCUGAUGCUGUCUGGACAGUGAAACAGCGCCCCCUCUGUCUCAGUAUGUGUAGACCAGGUAUCUGAUGCUGUCUGGACAGUGAAACAGCGCCCCCUCUGUCUCAGUAUGUGUAGACCAGGUAUCUGAUGCUGUGUGGUCAGAAAGGGUACUGCAUGUCCUACUCUCUGAUGGAUGGGUUUCUUCCUCUGGUGAGAUGGUUUCAGCAAAGAGGAGAAUCCGUGGGCAGUGUGUGUGUGUGUGUGUGUGUGUGUGUGUGUGUGUGUAGUGUGUGUGUGUGUGUGUGUGUGUGUGUGUCUGUGUGUGUGUGUGUGUGU
RNAcentral lists this long non-coding RNA (435 nucleotides) under Salmo salar (Atlantic salmon). Its description in RNAcentral is "lncRNA (ENSSSAG00000098933.1)". Lineage: Eukaryota; Metazoa; Chordata; Actinopteri; Salmoniformes; Salmonidae. The record is from RNAcentral.